This 1096-nucleotide ribosomal RNA is filed under the name Salmonella enterica subsp. enterica. Its description in RNAcentral is "bacterial SSU rRNA". It matches the Rfam family "Bacterial small subunit ribosomal RNA", at positions 28 to 1119 of the family's 1533-position model. The record is from RNAcentral. Lineage: Bacteria; Pseudomonadati; Pseudomonadota; Gammaproteobacteria; Enterobacterales; Enterobacteriaceae.
GGGCAAUGCUUGCAGGGCUACCAUGCAGUCGAACGGUAACAGGAAGCAGCUUGCUGCUUUGCUGACGAGUGGCGGACGGGUGAGUAAUGUCUGGGAAACUGCCUGAUGGAGGGGGAUAACUACUGGAAACGGUGGCUAAUACCGCAUAACGUCGCAAGACCAAAGAGGGGGACCUUCGGGCCUCUUGCCAUCAGAUGUGCCCAGAUGGGAUUAGCUUGUUGGUGAGGUAACGGCUCACCAAGGCGACGAUCCCUAGCUGGUCUGAGAGGAUGACCAGCCACACUGGAACUGAGACACGGUCCAGACUCCUACGGGAGGCAGCAGUGGGGAAUAUUGCACAAUGGGCGCAAGCCUGAUGCAGCCAUGCCGCGUGUAUGAAGAAGGCCUUCGGGUUGUAAAGUACUUUCAGCGGGGAGGAAGGUGUUGUGGUUAAUAACCGCAGCAAUUGACGUUACCCGCAGAAGAAGCACCGGCUAACUCCGUGCCAGCAGCCGCGGUAAUACGGAGGGUGCAAGCGUUAAUCGGAAUUACUGGGCGUAAAGCGCACGCAGGCGGUCUGUCAAGUCGGAUGUGAAAUCCCCGGGCUCAACCUGGGAACUGCAUUCGAAACUGGCAGGCUUGAGUCUUGUAGAGGGGGGUAGAAUUCCAGGUGUAGCGGUGAAAUGCGUAGAGAUCUGGAGGAAUACCGGUGGCGAAGGCGGCCCCCUGGACAAAGACUGACGCUCAGGUGCGAAAGCGUGGGGAGCAAACAGGAUUAGAUACCCUGGUAGUCCACGCCGUAAACGAUGUCUACUUGGAGGUUGUGCCCUUGAGGCGUGGCUUCCGGAGCUAACGCGUUAAGUAGACCGCCUGGGGAGUACGGCCGCAAGGUUAAAACUCAAAUGAAUUGACGGGGGCCCGCACAAGCGGUGGAGCAGGUGGUUAAAUUCGAUGCAACGCGAAGAACCUUACCUGGUCUUGACAUCCACAGAACUUUCCAGAGAUGGAUUGGUGCCUUCGGGAACUGUGAGACAGGUGCUGCAUGGCUGUCGUCAGCUCGUGUUGUGAAAUGUUGGGUUAAGUCCCGCAACGAGCGCAACCCUUAUCCUUUGUUGCC